GACGAACGCUGGCGGCGUGCCUAAUACAUGCAAGUCGAGCGAAGUUUUUCUGGUGCUUGCACUAGAAAAACUUAGCGGCGAACGGGUGAGUAACACGUAAAGAACCUGCCUCAUAGACUGGGACAACUAUUGGAAACGAUAGCUAAUACCGGAUAACAGUAUUUCUCGCAUGAGAGACAUUUAAAAGUUGGUUAUGCUAACACUAUGAGAUGGCUUUGCGGUGCAUUAGCUAGUUGGUGGGGUAAAGGCCCACCAAGGCGACGAUGCAUAGCCGACCUGAGAGGGUGAUCGGCCACACUGGGACUGAGACACGGCCCAGACUCCUACGGGAGGCAGCAGUAGGGAAUCUUCCGCAAUGGGCGAAAGCCUGACGGAGCAACGCCGCGUGAGUGAAGAAGGAUUUCGGUUCGUAUAGCUCUGUUGUUAGGGAAGAAUGGAUAUGUAGUAACUAUACAUGUAAGAGACGGUACCUAACCAGAAAGCCACGGCUAACUACGUG
RNAcentral lists this ribosomal RNA (499 nucleotides) under uncultured bacterium. RNAcentral's name for it is "partial 16S ribosomal RNA". It matches the Rfam family "Bacterial small subunit ribosomal RNA", at positions 28 to 507 of the family's 1533-position model. The record is from RNAcentral.